GUUUCGAAAGGAACGCUAAUACCGCAUACGUCCUACGGGAGAAAGCAGGGGACCUUCGGGCCUUGCGCUAUCAGAUGAGCCUAGGUCGGAUUAGCUAGUUGGUGGGGUAAUGGCUCACCAAGGCGACGAUCCGUAACUGGUCUGAGAGGAUGAUCAGUCACACUGGAACUGAGACACGGUCCAGACUCCUACGGGAGGCAGCAGUGGGGAAUAUUGGACAAUGGGCGAAAGCCUGAUCCAGCCAUGCCGCGUGUGUGAAGAAGGUCUUCGGAUUGUAAAGCACUUUAAGUUGGGAGGAAGGGCAGUAAGCGAAUACCUUGCUGUUUUGACGUUACCGACAGAAUAAGCACCGGCUAACUCUGUGCCAGCAGCCGCGGUAAUACAGAGGGUGCAAGCGUUAAUCGGAAUUACUGGGCGUAAAGCGCGCGUAGGUGGUUUGUUAAGUUGAAUGUGAAAGCCCCGGGCUCAACCUGGGGAACUGCAUCCAAAACUGGCAAGCUAGAGUACGGUAGAGGGUGGUGGAAUUUCCUGUGUAGCGGUGAAAUGCGUAGAUAUA
This 556-nucleotide ribosomal RNA is filed under the name Pseudomonas sp. J16(2016). Its description in RNAcentral is "bacterial SSU rRNA". It matches the Rfam family "Bacterial small subunit ribosomal RNA", at positions 148 to 698 of the family's 1533-position model. Lineage: Bacteria; Pseudomonadati; Pseudomonadota; Gammaproteobacteria; Pseudomonadales; Pseudomonadaceae. The record is from RNAcentral.